UUGAGUAUAGAGAGCAAAAUCCUAGAGGAUGUCAACAUUAGAAAUUGAAGAAAAGCAAAGGAAAUUAAAAACAAGUAGCCAGUGAGAAAAGAGAAAAAUAAAACGUUUUUUCAAGGAUGAAGAUGGGAUAAAUAAUAAGUGCUGCUGAGUGGUGAAAUGAAAUGAGGACCAAGAAAUGACCACUGGAGAGACAGGUGGUGGUCGUGUCUAGAAUGAUGUGCCAAUGGAGUGCCAGCUGAUGUGUAUUACUUCCCAGGCAAUCCUGUAAAUGAACCAUGUCGACAGCUGACUACAACAUCUGUAUAUGAUGAGGAUGAGAGAAGACUCCUGAAAUCUCCAAUUUUAAAUGACCUUAUACUUCAGGAACCCGUCUCAAGUUUCUGAUGAUGUAAUUUUAUUCUUUCAACCUCAGUU
RNAcentral lists this long non-coding RNA (414 nucleotides) under Equus caballus (horse). RNAcentral describes it as "lncRNA (ENSECAG00000055720.1)". Lineage: Eukaryota; Metazoa; Chordata; Mammalia; Perissodactyla; Equidae. The record is from RNAcentral.